AGUGAACGCUGGCGGUAGGCCUAACACAUGCAAGUCGAACGGCAGCACAGUAAGAGCUUGCUCUUACGGGUGGCGAGUGGCGGACGGGUGAGGAAUACAUCGGAAUCUACUUUUUCGUGGGGGAUAACGUAGGGAAACUUACGCUAAUACCGCAUACGACCUACGGGUGAAAGCAGGGGAUCUUCGGACCUUGCGCGAUUGAAUGAGCCGAUGUCGGAUUAGCUAGUUGGCGGGGUAAAGGCCCACCAAGGCGACGAUCCGUAGCUGGUCUGAGAGGAUGAUCAGCCACACUGGAACUGGGACACGGUCCAGACUCCUACGGGAGGCAGCAGUGGGGAAUAUUGGACAAUGGGCGCAAGCCUGAUCCAGCCAUACCGCGUGGGUGAAGAAGGCCUUCGGGUUGUAAAGCCCUUUUGUUGGGAAAGAAAGGCAGCAGGUUAAUACCCCGCUGUUCUGACGGUACCCAAAGAAUAAGCACCGGCUAACUUCGUG
Molecule: ribosomal RNA, 492 nt
Filed under: uncultured bacterium
Lineage: Bacteria
Description: partial 16S ribosomal RNA
Rfam family: Bacterial small subunit ribosomal RNA
Source: RNAcentral